This 379-nucleotide long non-coding RNA is filed under the name Amborella trichopoda. Its description in RNAcentral is "long non-coding RNA (ATRI_LNC004005)". The record is from RNAcentral. Lineage: Eukaryota; Viridiplantae; Streptophyta; Magnoliopsida; Amborellales; Amborellaceae.
UCAUGUGCUAGGGUUACCCCACAGGUUUUGGUACAUCCCACAUCCAAUUUUCUGAACGAUUGAUUCUAUUGGCCUGGCUGAAAUUUUAGAGCUGGAAAGCUUGUCUAGGAAAUACCCCUCCCACUUGGGUUUUAGAAAACAGACGGAUACAACUAGGAUUUAUGGCCUUAGGAAUAAAUUAGGGCAUAUCAUCAGGGUAUAAACCCUCUAGGCCUUUUUAUUACUCUACACUCUAUAAAUAAAGGCUCGAUAAGCCUUCGUGGUUGCUCAUCGACUCGUGAAAAUAGGUGUGCCACAUUGGAGAGAGAGGGAAAAGAGAAGAACUUAAUGGAUGAGAGAGAAAUUCUUGGGCAUGGAGCAGUGAAAAACAACAUGAGAG